This 246-nucleotide unclassified non-coding RNA is filed under the name Venturia sp. (in: ascomycete fungi). RNAcentral's name for it is "partial contains 5.8S ribosomal RNA, internal transcribed spacer 2, and large subunit ribosomal RNA". The record is from RNAcentral. Lineage: Eukaryota; Fungi; Ascomycota; Dothideomycetes; Venturiales; Venturiaceae. RNAcentral also lists the same sequence under 1 other name.
AACGCACAUUGCGCCCCCUGGUAUUCCGGGGGGCACACCUGUUCGAGCGCCAUUUCUACCCUGGAGCCCUGCUCUGUGAUGGGCCCCGUCCUCGCGGACGGGCCCGAAACCCGUGGGCGCCGUCGUGUCCGGCCCUGAGCGUAGCAAGAGAAAUCCCUCGCUCGGAGUGCCUGUCGGUCGGUCGCCCCGAACCCCCAUUUUUACAAGGUUGGCCUCGGAUCAGGUGGGGAUACCCGCUGAACUUAA